UUCAUGGUUUCAGUGUUUCUCAGUUGGUGCUGGAGGUUCUCAGCUGCGCUGGAUGAUUGCAUGGAAGAGUACUUAAGCGGUAGGCUGCCAGCACUUCAACACCAGAGGGUUUGCCUUAGUGGUUUUUACCUGAGGCUUUGUUUACCUUGCUGAGACCCGACUUCGUUCCAGAGAUUCUCUGAGCAAUCUGGAUAAUCAUCUACUGAGUAUUGGAUCUACCUUCUUGUGGAUUUCUCUCCCAACCAUUUAUACUUUACGGACACGGACCAAGCUGUCGGCUUCCCACUCCCUUCAACUCCAGGACCAAGGCAUAAGCAUACCCUGUUCCACCCUCCAUCGCAAGCAUCAGCACCUGUGCUUCAUCUGGUUUGCACCAAACCAGCAGCUGAGAAGACAACUGAGCAACCUCACUUCGCAAGCUAAGACUCUGAAUCUCUCUACCCCUGGUGGUUCAAGCAACAGCAAUUUAUUGGUGUUUCCAGUUCUCGUCCCUGAUUACUUUGCUGACAAUAAAGACACAUUAAACUUUACUUCAGAGUGUUUUCUGUAUGUGGAUCAGCUCUAUUUCGAGAAAAAUGACAGCUACCAACUGCCCCAACCGGGCAGCCACUGUAUUUACCAUAAAAUAUAUUUUAUUUCACAACUUUUAGCAUAAUAACAGAGUUGUAUGAUUUUUGUUUUAAUAAUGGAUACUGUGUUUUCUAAAAUGUUGUCCUUAGAAAUGAUCAAAUAUGUGCCAUAACUGUA
Molecule: long non-coding RNA, 747 nt
Organism: Girardinichthys multiradiatus
Lineage: Eukaryota; Metazoa; Chordata; Actinopteri; Cyprinodontiformes; Goodeidae
Exons: 3
Source: RefSeq, a predicted model, not a curated record